This 497-nucleotide ribosomal RNA is filed under the name uncultured bacterium. Its description in RNAcentral is "partial 16S ribosomal RNA". It matches the Rfam family "Bacterial small subunit ribosomal RNA", at positions 28 to 507 of the family's 1533-position model. The record is from RNAcentral.
GAUGAACGCUGGCGGCGUGCCUAAUACAUGCAAGUCGAGCGAACGGACGAGAAGCUUGCUUCUCUGAUGUUAGCGGCGGACGGGUGAGUAACACGUGGAUAACCUACCUAUAAGACUGGGAUAACUUCGGGAAACCGUAGCUAAUACCGGAUAAUAUUUUGAACCGCAUGGUUCAAAAGUGAAAGACGGUCUUGCUGUCACUUAUAGAUGGAUCCGCGCUGCAUUAGCUAGUUGGUAAGGUAACGGCUUACCAAGGCAACGAUGCAUAGCCGACCUGAGAGGGUGAUAGGCCACACUGGAACUGAGACACGGUCAAGACUCCUACGGGAGGCAGCAGUAGGGAAUCUUACGCAAUGGGCGAAAGCCUGACGGAGCAACGCCGCGUGAGUGAUGAAGGUCUUCGGAUCGUAAAACUCUGUUAUUAGGGAAGAACAUAUGUGUAAGUAACUGUGCACAUCUUGACGGUACCUAAUCAGAAAGCCACGGCUAACUACGUG